UCCUACGGGGGGUAGCAGUGAGGAAUAUUGGUCAAUGGUCGGGAGACUGAACCAGCCAAGCCGCGUGAGGGAUGAAGGUACAGAGUAUCGUAAACCUCUUUUGUCAGGGAACAAAGGCGGGGACGUGUCCCCGGAUGAGUGUACCUGAAGAAAAAGCAUCGGCUAACUCCGUGCCAGCAGCCGCGGUAAUACGGAGGAUGCGAGCGUUAUCCGGAUUUAUUGGGUUUAAAGGGUGCGCAGGCGGUCUGUUAAGUCAGCGGUCAAAGCCCGGGGCUCAACCCCGGCCCGCCGUUGGAACUGGCAGG
RNAcentral lists this ribosomal RNA (305 nucleotides) under uncultured bacterium. RNAcentral's name for it is "bacterial SSU rRNA". It matches the Rfam family "Bacterial small subunit ribosomal RNA", at positions 337 to 640 of the family's 1533-position model. The record is from RNAcentral.